UCCAGACUCCUACGGGAGGCAGCAGUGGGGGAUAUUGCACAAUGGGGGGAACCCUGAUGCGGCGACGCCGCGUGGGUGAAGGAGCGUUUCGGCGCGUAAAGCCCUAUCGGCAGGGAAGAAAAUGACGGUACCUGAGUAAGAAGCCCCGGCUAACUACGUGCCAGCAGCCGCGGGAAUACGUAGGGGGCAAGCGUUAUCCGGAUUUACUGGGUGUAAAGGGAGCGUAGACGGCGAUACAAGUCUGAAGUGAAAGCCCGGGGCUCAACCCCGGGACUGCUUUGGAAACUGUGUUGCUGGAGUGCUGGAGAGGCAAGCGGAAUUUCUAGUGUAGCGGUGAAAUGCGUAGAUAUUAGGAAGAACACCAGUGGCGAAGGCGGCUUGCUGGACAGUAACUGACGUUGAGGCUCGAAAGCGUGGGGAGCAAGCAGGAUUAGAUACCCGCGUAC
This 446-nucleotide ribosomal RNA is filed under the name uncultured bacterium. RNAcentral's name for it is "bacterial SSU rRNA". It matches the Rfam family "Bacterial small subunit ribosomal RNA", at positions 330 to 793 of the family's 1533-position model. The record is from RNAcentral.